RNAcentral lists this ribosomal RNA (206 nucleotides) under uncultured Romboutsia sp. RNAcentral describes it as "partial 16S ribosomal RNA". It matches the Rfam family "Bacterial small subunit ribosomal RNA", at positions 568 to 774 of the family's 1533-position model. Lineage: Bacteria; Bacillati; Bacillota; Clostridia; Peptostreptococcales; Peptostreptococcaceae. The record is from RNAcentral.
UGCGUAGGUGGUUUCUUAAGUCAGAGGUGAAAGGCUACGGCUCAACCGUAGUAAGCCUUUGAAACUGAGAAACCUGAGUGCAGGAGAGGAGAGUGGAAUUCCUAGUGUAGCGGUGAAAUGCGUAGAUAUUAGGAGGAACACCAGUUGCGAAGGCGGCUCUCUGGACUGUAACUGACACUGAGGCACGAAAGCGUGGGGAGCAAACA